UGCUAACACUCACACGAUACUUAUGGGUUCAAAGUUUCAAUCAGACACAGAGAAAGAUAUGAGCUUAUAGUUUCACCUUCCAACCUUUUACCUCAAGGGUAAUGUCAACAGUAAUACUUUAUGAUAACCUACAUCCGAGUGGAUAUAUAUAGUAGCACUAUUCUGAUCAUGAGAUCAGAAUAGUUAUUCUAAUCACGAGGCUCUAUAUAGGGGCGACGAGGAUGUUCCUGAGAUCAGGGGAAAACGUAGAAAACCUACCAGCCCACACUACACCUCCUGAACGGCCCAUCACCACACCCAUGACCUUCUCUCCCCGACCUUGACCAAACCACCUGCCGCCGUGGCCGGCCUCCCUCCCCCACCGUGGCCAGCCUCUACCACCCGCCGUCACGCCCGGCCUCCCUCCCCUGUCGCGCCCUGCCUCCCUCCCCCGCUGCGCCUGGCUUCCCUCCCGCCGCUGCCCGCCGCUGCUCUCAUUCGCCUACAACCGCCGCCGCCAUGGAUCCGUAGUCCCUCCAUCCCGCACCGCCCAGCGUCUUCCCCAUCUACGGCGGCGCAACUCCUCCUACCCGGUGAGGAUCUGAAUUGUGGGUCUUCCCUGACGCCUCGUGCUAUGGAGAGCGGCCCGGUCGGUGCUCGCCUGGAAGAGGACGACCAUCCCGUGGCUGCAACCUUCCACCUCCGCCCCACCCGUGAAACCUCCCUGCUCCGGCCAUGGCUCUGGGCGCGCCGCCCAUAAUCUCUUCUCUGCUCCGGUCUGUUCCCUUGUUUCUCUUUCUGCUGCCGCCCGACGGAAUUGUUCCGGUGGUCGCCCAUGCAAGCCACUCCUCCUCUAGCUCCAGUUCUCCACCUACGCAGGUCCAGCCCUCUCACAUUGCCUCCCCAGAGCUGCCCUUCCCUUCCACCAUCGACUUGUGGAGCGAGCAAGUGGGGCGUGGAAGUUCAGAUGUGAUUCCAUCUAUGUUCUGGACAUCACCACGUGAGUCGCAGCACAAAAAUCCCUUUCCACAAACUCAUGUCCCCUGAGGAGCUCCAGCUGGGACGCUGUGUAGAGCAGCCACACAACCGUCAUGCAGGAAUUGACCCUCCCUAUCUUUCUCUGAACUUUCUCUUCAGGAGGAUUUGACCUUCUUUAAUUUGCGAGAAAAUAACUGCAACAUUUGCUUUUUUGUGUGUCCUCUGAAAAAUUGCACUCUGAAAAAUUGCACUUGGACGACAUUUUUAUAUAUCUGAUGGACGAAUUGGUUUGAGGUUUGAGCAUAGUUGAACUGCACAUUGACAAGAAUGUGAAAAAAGCAGGCAUGUCCCCUUCGUUUGGAUGCCCCCUUCGUUUGGAUGUCCCGUGCUAGUAAUGAGAAUGACGGUGGCUCGUUGUCCCCCACAACCACCGCAUGCCACCUCCCCUCGAGCUCUCUGGCUCCUGGAUGCCGCUCCUCUGCCUUCAACAGCAAGAACUGGCACGCUCUAUCCACGGUCUAAAAUUUUGCUCUUCACCACUUCCCCAACUUGAAUUGACUCAUUGACCUCGCGAGAGCCGAGGCCUCCCGUCCCCUAAUCUCUGGUCCCCGUGAAGCCCUUUGUCCUACAUAUAUAUAAGAAGUUGACCUUCAGGUCGCUGCUAAGACGAACAACAGAUCAAGCCAAGUCUAGCGCCACGGUAGCACCCGAGAACAUGGGGAGAGGGCGUGUGGUGGUGGGUGGAUAGGAAAUGUGUGGUGAAGAAAAAAACAUAGGUUUUCAAUUGGACAUUGGUGGUAGCAUCUAGUCAUUUUACAAGGUAAUGAAACAUGUGUAUGUAUGUACAUUAAUAUAUUUUACUCGAACUGAGUUACUCUAUUUUUUAAAAAUGCACUAAGUCUGUGCAGUCAAAAAAGCAUGUAUUAGCCUUCUAAUUGUUGCAAUUGGUCCGUACGCAUUUUACUAAUAAAUGUUGCCCCCAUA
This is a non-coding RNA of Triticum urartu, 1941 nucleotides long. The record is from RefSeq and is a predicted model, not a curated record. Lineage: Eukaryota; Viridiplantae; Streptophyta; Magnoliopsida; Poales; Poaceae.